RNAcentral lists this long non-coding RNA (9712 nucleotides) under Xyrichtys novacula (pearly razorfish). The record is from RNAcentral. Lineage: Eukaryota; Metazoa; Chordata; Actinopteri; Labriformes; Labridae.
UCACCUGGUGGAGUUUUGGGUUGGAAAGAAAACCUGCAGCCUCUCGGCCCUCCAUGGCACAUGAUUGCCCACCCCUGAUCUAUACCUACAGGCAUUUUGAAAGUGGCCAAUUAAUCUAAUUCUACGUCUGCAUGUGGGAAACCCACACAGACACAGGGCGAACAUGCAAACUCCACACAGAAACACCCUGACCUGGAUUCGAACGCAGGACCUUCUUGCUGUGAGGUGACAGUGCUAACCACUACACUACUGUGCCGACAUAAAUCGAAUCCAUGUGUGGAAAAUAACUUGUGUCAUGUUUAAAUUCUGUCCUUUAGAUGUCAGCUCUGUUCUUUUAAUCUAAAACUGUGGUUGCUUUCCGAACCUCUCUCUUUAAACCUGACACCACAUCUUGUGAGGUUGUGUUCCUCAUCGUGUAUAUUCAUACUUUUUAAAUGCUACUUAUCCCAAAUUUAUGCUUUUUUUUUUUUGAAAGCUAAGUAGAAUUAGUGUAGUAGUCUUUGAAAGUUUCAAGCUUUGGGUAUUUUUCGUCUUAAUUUUGAAAUUUGUCUACUAAAGCAAAAACACAGGGGCACUUUGCAGAGCCUGAAAGUGAAGCAGUCUUUACAAACCAGUGAUUUCAGGAGGGUUAUCUGUCUCCUGGUUGGUGCACGGCGUAAUAAAACCCACACUGCUUUCAUCUGCAGAUAAUUGACCCAAAAAGGAUUUUUGCAGACUAUAUAGAACACUGAACCUUUGAAACUGAGUAAAUUUCAUACAGCUAAUGCGCUAUUCAAGCAGGUCAUCUGAGGCUGAAUCGCACCGGCAGAGAGCACCGUAUUCAUCCCCUCCAACUUUUGCUACAUCUGAGAAUGAAAGGGAGCAUUUUGAAGUGCUGAGACGAGGUAUUAUAAAGACAGGAGUAUUGACAGUCACUGACAGUGUUUGGUGAAAUUGCAGGAGAGGCAGCCUUAGUACUUCAGGACAGGUUCCUAUUGAAUACUUAUAUUCACAUCCAACCUUUUUGGUGCACUGAAAAAAUCUGUUGCAAUGGACUUAUUGACCCUGGAAAAUAAGGAUUCAUUUAUGCUUGACGGAGAGUUGGUAUUUCUGAAAUUAACAUGAGUUAUGAAUGUCAGCUUAAUGGUCAUGUCUUACAAACAAUGUGACCUUCUGCUGUGCUGACAUGACUUCUUAAUAUAUACACACAUUAAUAAACUUGAGAUCGUCAUUUCAAGAAUUUAAUGCACCUGAAAAAGUGUAGUUCAAAACAAUCAGUUGAUGACACAGCAACAUACAGUAUUUACAGUUUCUAAACUUGCCUCUUUUUACACGUCAGCCUCUAUUCAGGUUCUUAAUUAAACACACUAUUUAACCGCAGGCACUCAAGAUGCAGGACACAAAUGUUGCUAAAUUUGCCCAAAGCUCUAACAAAAGUAGGCCAGUACCCGAACAGGAGUUCAAGUUCAGAUCAUGCAUAAUACAUUGAGUUCACGAUCAGUGCAAUGGAGCCAGCAAUAUUCAAGAUGGUGAACACAAAGCUGCAUCCUGCGUGCCUCACUGUUACACACGCUGGUACCAGCUUUGGCUCUAAACUUAACAUCAAACCACCAGAGUGCUUUAGAGGUGGACUCCAGGUCAGGAGGGCAGUUCAGGUUCAAGACGAAAAGCUGCCACAAAUCAAGUUCUGCAUGAAGAGCAAAGUGAUAUGAAUGAACAUUCGCCUGCACAAUUAAAAAAAUCAAAAUCUACUGAGUGUACUUUUCUUCUUAUUAUGAGUGGAAAUAGGUCUUUACACUUUAUAACAGCCACAUUGACCUAACAUGUCUGGAUCCUUUCUCCAGAUGUGUAAAAAUUACAGCUUCAGUCAAGAAACUCAUUGAGAAAAUUUUGCGUGCAGCACUGGCAGCCUCUUUAACUCAUUACAAUACAUUAAGUUCUUGUUGUGGCUUCUUAAAAAGGAUUUAUAUCUGAGCUUGUAAGAUCAGUUUAGCUUAUAAUAUUUCUUAAUAUUUCUUACAUAAAUGCACUCUGUGGUAUUUGAAACAAACAUUAUCAUCUCAUCUUUUUUCUCUCUCUGCAUAUAAAGUCCUUGAGAAAUCAGCAUACUUCCUCACGGAGAGUUUAAGUAGUUCAUCAAGGUGAUUUUUCAACCAACCCACAGUUUAAAUUUCAAUCAAGUUGAAUCACAAUCCUGAUUUAAAAGCAUCAGUUCACUCAAAGCAAAGCAGAAAUCAGUUUUUGCACCAGGCAGGAGAAAAACAUGAUAACAAUUUUUAAAAAUUAAAUAAAAGAAAAGGUUAAUACACUUCGGCACAGACACCAAUGAGCAGUACAUUAAAGGGUCCUGGGAAGGAUUUGGAGACACACAGUCACACAAAAGUAGCAAGGGCAUCUCCAGAUCCUUUUUGAUGAGGGUGACUCAACUGGGGCAUUGCAGGGGUGGCUGGGGUAUGUGAACACACACACACACACUCACACACACACACACACACACACACACACACACACACACACACACACACACACACACACACACACACGUGCGCACAGAUUAACAGCUUUUACCAUCACGGUCUUUACCAUCUACAUUAACAACUAUCAUUUAAUAUCAUCCAGCUGUUUUAAUCUUGAGUCAAGUCAGAUUCUCAUAUCACAGUUUUAUUGUGGCUGAAAAUGAAAAAGUUAUGAUAAUAUUGUCACAGUUGUUAUGGUCAAUUUAGAAGAAGAAAAACCAAUGCAACCAGCAUAAGGAACCACCACCACCCCCUUUCUUUAAAUCUGUAAACUACAUUAGUAUUACUGAACACUCUUUAAUUUAUAUAUUUUUUUGCACAAUAUCAAUAUUUAUUCUUCUUAAAAAGACAUUAUUGCCUGUUUAUUCCUGCUGCCCUAGUCCUUAGUAUGAUGUUAUUACUUUGAAAGACUGCAUCUGCCCCCGAGUUCAUGUAUCUACCAGUGCUUUUCCACCAGCACCUACUCAGCUCUACUUUUAAGGGUCCUCCAUUGUGUGAUAGCACCUGGUACAAGGUACUAUUCUGGUACCCACUCGGCUGGGGUCCCAAGCAAACUGAGUCAAGCUGAAAAUAUGAUGCCAGAAGACCACUGAUUGACCAUGUCACUGAAUGAGUCAUUAGAGCAACUUCUUUAUGAGAAUCAAACCCGCCAUUUUUAAAACCUGGCAAAAAGCCACAGACUGAGCUGCAGGUGUACCAUCACCUUAAUGUCCUCCAUUGUUGUGUGGGGCUUGUGCCGCUUACAAAUGACAUCAUGGGGGUUUCAGGUCUCCUUGUCAUGAUGACCCAACCCACAUUGAGGUGGUCUUCAAUAGUAAUGUGAGUAGCACUAAACUGUGUUAUAGAAAAGCAGCAUAAAAUAGUCUGUUUUAGUGUGAGUGAUGCCUCUGAUAAGCCAAAUAGCCAGUCAUAGCUUGGGAUUUUGAGGUGGCCACAUGGAUCUCAAGGGGGCCAGUGCCACCGUUGGCCACCCCUCUGGACAUGCCCCUGUAUAGAGGACACCAGAAGCACAUCUUGGUGCAGAGUAAAUGAAACAUCAAUGCUGACAGAAUAAACUAGGAAGAUAGUAUCUUAAGUCUGGUCAACUUGCAGGAUUAGAUGAAUGUCUGCAUCACAGUUGUUAAAUUUGGUGAAUUUAUGAAGUGCAAGAACUCAUCGCAGCCGAACUACCAACACAUGUAUUAGUGUGUGAUACAGUUCACUGAGUGCUAAGAAAAAAUUGAAAAGGAAACACAGGAAAGUCUGAUGAAAGAAAGUCUUGAGAGACAACUAUGGCUGAAAUUGUCUUUUCCUGAUGUUUGGUCUUUUACUGCAAAGUAGAGCUUUAUAUUUUCACAGGAAAACAAACAUGAACCAGUCAGAGUUUCCAGUGCAGGCAUCUUUAUGAACUGUGGGUAUGAACUUUCACACUUCGACUCAUACAAUCACACAAAAACAGACUAGGACCUCUUACUAUUAGACAAAAGACUUGCUUCAAAACCUUUUUAAUCUGAAAACUUCCAUCAUGCAGAGAUAGACUUUUACAAGGGAAUGAACUGAAAGAUGAUGGUGAGUCUGUACUUCACUUGUCAUAACUGAUUAUCAGCAAUAAAAAUGAUUCUCACCAACAGGAAAUUUUGUAGCUUAUCUUCUCCCCCUGGUGGCACAAUAAUGUACUGUUCACAUGAGACAGGCUUUUCUCAGUAUCACAAGCUUCAAAUUCACACUGAAGGGACAAAUAAAGGUGUGAAGGGCAGUUACUCACAGGAGGAGCCAGAACUACAUUUUGACCUUUUGGAUGAAUGAUUAUAUUAAUUCAGGCUGAAAGUGAAUGUAACUUGUUUCAGUUUCUUCAAAUACCAGCAAAGUCUUUCUGUUUCAACCACUUGGAGAGAUCAAUAAGAAUUAACUGGGAAAUUUCCAGUUAAUCUGGAUCUGGAUCAAAUCCAAGGCACACAAGCAAAUUUACUGAUAUGCUUUAUAUCAGGACAAAUACUGGGCAGAAUCUACAAUGUAUAAUACUACUGAGUGUGAUGUGUCAUAUGUUACAUACACAUGAAAUAAAAUAGCCAAAUAUCCUAAAUUAAUUACAAUUUAAAUCUCUUCUGUCACAAAAUGAUUUCAAAAUCUGUACAUUUUUAACGAUUGAACAUAUUGUAGAGUAUAAAAACAGCCAAACAUACUGUGAUAGAGCAAAUACCUUUGUGAUCUCCUCUCCUCACAGUGCGCAGCUGCUCUACCUGUUAUUGUUAAUCUUGAUGCAGCAGGCGUUUAAAGAGAGCUGUUGCCCAGGAGAAACAAUCUCAGAUUGCCUACCUCGCUCUUAAUCGCUCACUUGCUCACUCAGCAUCUCCCCAGAAAUGCACCCCACCCACCCACCCAGACUUCACAUAUACAACUACACACACACACACACACACACACACACACACACACUUACUAUCGCACUUGGAUGCCCUGCAAACAGCAGCGCGCUCUGUGAGCAGGUCAAUAGGCGUAUCACUGCAUUUCUCUAAUUGAGCCUCUGAUGAGGAACUUCCUGAGCUUGCUGCCUUUGAAUGUCGAUAAACAGACAACCCUGCACACUAAUGCAUUCCUGCUGCUUGUCACACAGUGUCAGAGGACAGAGUGUGACCUGAUUAAAAUACAACUUUUAAAUAAGGGCGCAUGCAACUCAUCAAUGGACAAUGGGCCUGCUCACACCUACUUGUGCAUUGAAAGUGUUAUUUUGAACUUUUAUUUGCCAACUAAGUGAUGCAGAAUAAAAUUUAGAGGUGGUUUUCUGGUGGUAGCUUCCUCCCAAACACAGAGUGCAUGAUAGAAAGGCUAGAUAAACUCUGUUUGUUUAUGCGUGUCUUCAGCUUUUCUUAUCCACACAGCAGUGUCCUUAUGUGCCCUACUUAACAGGCCUGGAGCUACUUCACCACCAAUAACAAAUUAUAUAUAAAAGGAAUUUUUACAGCUUGGCUUUCUGUUGAUUCAUUUCAGUGCUGGCGGGAAAGUCAAAGCCAUUAUUUAGAAAGAGCCUUAUCCAAAUGUGUCAAAAGAUUUGAAUAUUUUUCUAAAAUCUUUCAAAAAAAUCACCACAGCUAACAGUUAUUAGGUUAAUACUUCAGUGCUGCCAAGUAUUUCCAGAUUUUUGUAUCUAAUAUCUCUUAACAGGAGACAGUUUGAGCAGGUAACUUUUAUGAUUCAUUUCAUUUAUUAUUGUGAGUAUCUCUAGCAAGAACAAACCAAAACCAAGAUCAUCCCCUCUGAAUUCAUCCCAACACUGAUGAAUAGAAAUGUGACAAAUGAUUGAUAGGAGCCCCGCACAGACUUACAAAAACUUUCAGUUCUUAGAGAGUUACACACUCAAAUACAAACAGGAACCCCACCCUGGUGUGCAUGGUUUUCAUCACUGAUGUUAUUUCUGGAACAACAAACACAAGGACACCAGCUUUAUGUGGCUGUGCUGCAAGACAUCUCAGUGUAGUGAGUGGGACCUGCUUAACGCUCGUGCUCAGUCCAGACAUCAAAAAAUGCUCUCACCUACAUUGAUUUGUGGGGACCAAUUCAUCAAGGAAAAGGAAAGAUUAACUGAAGAUUAAUUGAAUAUUAAUUUUAUCUUGUUUUUAUGAUUUUUCUGUCAGUUGCAACAAUAUACUUACAUUCUCUUUGUAUGUUCAACAAGAGAUCUUUUUUAUACGGCAAAAGAGACUGGUUUGUAUCAAUGUGUGUACAGUUGUGUGUACUAACUUUAACUUUUUUUUCUUUUCCUGAUAGCUAUUGCUAACACUUCAGAGAAAAUUUGUUAACUUGCAAAAACAUCAAACACAAAUCUGUUGUUGAAACACACUAAUUAAGAGGUGAUGUAAAAAGCACAAGCACAAGCAUGGGGAUCUCUAACAUGCAAGAAGAGAUGGGACAAGAUGAGACGAGACGGGACCAGUCAAGCCAAAAUGACGGAACAGAUGAGACCAGAUGAGAUGAGACAAAAUUAUGGGACAUGACAAGAUAAAAUGACAAGACGGAAUGAGACAAAGUACGCAAUGAAAUGGCAGGACCAGACAAGACGACACAUGACAUGACAUGACAUGACAUGACAUGACAUGACAUGACACGACAUGAUGGGACAGGAAAGGAUAAGACUUGACAACUCUAAGUGAGAUGAGACAAGGGACUUGGCAAGACGGGCGGGACAAGACAAGAUGAAACGGAACAAAAUGGCAGGAUGGGACAGGACAACUUGAGAUGAGGCGGGGCAAGUAGAGAUGAAAAAGCUGAGACAAGAUAGGAGGUUCUUUAUUGUUCCCCUAUUAAAGAAAAGGUAUAAGUUUGUUGUAAGUUUCUUAGGCUAGUCCUCACACAGCUUGAUAGAAAACUUCUGCAGUGAUAAAAAAAAAAAGCGUACUUUUUUUCUAAUGUAUUAAUGGUAUAGACAUCUUUGACUUACAGGUUAUUUGGUUAUUGCUCAGUAGAAUUGUACUGGGUUGUCCUAACAGUGUGUAGCACUCAGACAUUUUUAGUCAAUAGAGUGCAUUAGUGAAUUAGGUGAUUUAUGAGCAGAUGAGGUAAAAGCAGAGAUAAAUUAAAAUAUAUUGUGGUAGAAAAUUUGAAUAUAAAAUAUAUGAAUGUAGUUAAAAAUAUAGAAAAAUAACUGGAUAAUGUACUAUAAAAUAGAUUCACAUUUUAUGGUAGUAACAUAAGAUAUAUUUGAACGAAUUAUUAAAAGCUUUAAUAUUCUGCCAAUGAUCAGACUGCUGUCCCACCUUUGACCUUUGGUGAUCAUAAAUUGUCUCUUGGUUAUUACAGUUAACUUACAGACCACUAAAAGGAUCAAGGUUAAGAGAGGUGUAUAGCUGAAAGCAUUUUAGUAGUAAUUGAACUUCUGAACACUUCAUAUAUGGUGUGCAGUGAUGAAACAUAAACAUGUGAAUGUUGUUUUUGUCUGCAGCUCGACAAAGACACACGUGUGAAAUUUAAAUCACACACUCAGACUGACUGCAGCAGAACUUCCACAGAUCUUCAGAAGAGCGGUCCAGCUCAGCGUUUCUUUUCCUCCUUACUCUUUCCUUCAAUCUGAUUCUGUACCUCUUUUUUGAUCCUCUGGGUUCUUGGUUGUAUGUUCGUGCUUCACUAUUGAGAGUGUUUCACUGAUAUUUUUUUAUUAUUAUUAUUGCACUCCUAACUGCUGUCUGUGCAGAGAGUAAAUGUGAAAAAAAUCUGAGUAAAACUUCUACUAAUUUGCUGUAGCAAUAUCCCAGUCAUGCUCUCCUCAGUAGUGGUAUAAAAAAACGAUGGGAGAGGAUAGCGCAGAAUACUAAAAAGAGGAGGGUCCUGUGCACUGACCCCUGAGGUACCCCUGUUGGUAAGCUGUCAGGUUUGGACACAUCACUCCUCAAAGAUACUCUAAGAGAUCUCCCUGAGAGGUAGAACAUGGAUCAGUGGGGGGCACAUCCUUGGAUACGAAGCUCAGAGAGUGAGGAGAGGAGGAUUUGGUGGUUGACUGUGUCGGAGAGGCAGCAGACAGAUCCAGCAGCACUGACGGAGGACUGACCAGCAGCUCUAACUAAUCAUAAUUAAUCCAUUACCUGCUGUGGUGCAGUCUCGGUGGGGUGGAGCGAAUCUCUAUUUAGAAUAUUUUCCAUUACUUGAGUCAAAAUUUUCCAUGAAAGUGUAUAAUAAUUUUCUUUUAUGCAGCUUGUUGGCUCAGAGUUUUAUCUUACACAGCUUGUUUUGUCUUUUUUUCCAUGCCUACAUACAUACACACCAUUGGGACCUUUUUGCACGGGUUGCUAUGAAGUGCUGACUUCCCCGGACCUCAAAACUGAAGCCUUUUGGAGGGUUUGUUCCUCAACUAUAUGGACUCAUGUUCUAUUUAAAGGUUAACCUUACUUAUUUCAACCACAUUAAACCCUUCACCCUUUAUAUUUCAUUACAGGAUAAUAUAAAAACAAUAAAAACUGAGAUGAAAUAGAAGUAAUAAAACACAAGGAUGGGACUGAGUGAGCCCCAGAGUCCAUUUAAAUACUCCAAAUUACUUUUAAUACAGUUUGGUUUCACUCCACAGUCUGUUAAGAGCAAAACACAACAUUUAUAAAACAAUGUGUCGGUGCUUGUUGUAAAUACUUAAGUUAAUGAUGCAGGAAGUUUCAAUCACCACAGAGUGACCUUGUCACAGUAACUACAGAGGGGAUGCUCCCCUGCCUGUGAUUUAUGUUAAAAUAUAAUGAAUAAAACCAUGAAGGCAUAAAAGGACAGGCAGGUCAUCAGUAAUAAUCUCUCCACUGUACAGGGUGAGAGAGGAAAUGUCCUCCAAGAGACUAUGAGAAAUUGAUUUAGUGUCUAAGCUCAUGAUGCAUCAUCUGUGGUGUCAUUAAAUGCAGAGCACCUUGUAUGUUUACUUAUUGAUAUGAUAUGAUUAAGUACGGGUCAAACAAACUGGAUUAAACUGGAAUUACCUUAAAACACUUCAAAAAGAAACACUCAACGACAAUGAGUGAGAUCAUUCCCACUUUUGACCACCAAAGGACAGAAAUACUAACAAAAUACACAACUUUUGUUAAAAAAUGCAUCAAAUGUACCAUGAAGGGGAGUGAAGAAAAAACUGCCAACAUACACAUGAAUGUAAACAAAGUCAGUUAGUUACAGAUAUACAGCUAUCUGUGUGUCUGUGUGUGUGCAUGUGUGUGAAUUACACUGGAUUAAAAUAGAAACAUUUGCAGGACUGCACUGGGACUAAAGCCAAUGGGUAAGACUCAACAACUUAACUCUCUGGUGACGGUGACCCCUCAGAGAAGAGGACUAUAGACAAACUACUGGACAUUAUGGACAAUGCCAGUCACCCUCUGCACACUGCCAUCAUCAACCAGAGGAGCCUGUUCAGUGACAGACUGAUCCUUCCCAACCAACAGACUGAGAAACUCCUUUGUCCCUCAUGCCAUCAGACUGUACAACUCCUCUAGGGAGGAGGAGGAGGGGUUACAGGAGGACAGAGGAUGGGAAGGAGCAGCAGCAGUAGUAGUUGUAACAGUAAUGUGCAAAUAUCCAUUGCUUCAAAUCUUACUGUUUAUAUGUAUAUAUUUAAUUUACCUUAAGUUUCAUUAUGUCUUCAUUCUUUAAAUAUAUAUUGCAUUUUUUUCUUAUUUGAUCAUUCUGUUUUUUGUUUUUUUUCUGUUACACACUAAUGCUGCUGGAAUUUUAAUCUGCCUGAGGGAACCUUCCCAAAAGGAUCAAUAAAGUUCUGUUUUAUUUCA